CCUACGGGAGGCUGCAGUGAGGAAUAUUGGUCAAUGGGCGAGAGCCUGAACCAGCCAAGUCGCGUGAGGGAUGACUGUCCUCCGGUUUGUAAACUUCUUUUGUAAGGGAGUAAGGUCACUCACGUGUGCAUUUUUGAAUGUACUUUAUGAAUAAGGAUCGGCUAACUCCGUGCCAGCAGCCGCGGUAAUACGGUGGGGCCGAGCGUUAUACGGAUUUAUUGGGCUUAAAGGGUACGUAGGUGGGUUGUUAAGUCAGUGGUGAAAUGCUGCGGCUCAACCCCAGAACUGCCAUUGAUACUGGCAGCCUUGAGUACAGGUGAGGAUAGCGGAAUACCCGGUGUAGAGGUGAAAUCCGUAGAUAUCUGGAAGAACACCGGUGGCGAAGGCGGCUAUCUGGCCCAUAACUGACGCUGAGGCUCGAAAGCGUGGGUAUCAAACAGGAUUAGAUACCCUUGUAGUC
This 460-nucleotide ribosomal RNA is filed under the name uncultured bacterium. RNAcentral's name for it is "partial 16S ribosomal RNA". It matches the Rfam family "Bacterial small subunit ribosomal RNA", at positions 338 to 795 of the family's 1533-position model. The record is from RNAcentral.